This 185-nucleotide unclassified non-coding RNA is filed under the name Glomus sp. RNAcentral's name for it is "partial contains 5.8S ribosomal RNA and internal transcribed spacer 2". The stretch from base 1 to 65 matches the Rfam family "5.8S ribosomal RNA", at positions 84 to 154 of the family's 154-position model. The record is from RNAcentral. Lineage: Eukaryota; Fungi; Glomeromycota; Glomeromycetes; Glomerales; Glomeraceae.
GUGAAUCAUCGAAUCUUUGAACGCAUAUUGCACUCUCUUCGGAGAGUAUGCCUGUUUGAGGGUCAGCCUAUAAAAAAUCGACAUCGUCGCUGUUUCGCGGUGACAUUCGUCGGAAAUUGGGUCAUCUUAAACCUUUGUGUUUUAUGCGGCUUAUAAUUUUCUUUACGAUGCUACGUGCAUUUCUA